This 73-nucleotide transfer RNA is filed under the name Candidatus Harrisonbacteria bacterium RIFCSPHIGHO2_01_FULL_44_13. RNAcentral describes it as "tRNA-Arg". It matches the Rfam family "tRNA". From Rfam's summary of the family: Transfer RNA (tRNA) molecules are approximately 80 nucleotides in length. The record is from RNAcentral. Lineage: Bacteria; Candidatus Harrisoniibacteriota. RNAcentral also lists the same sequence under 1 other name.
GCCCUCGUGGUGAAAUUGGAUAUCACGACAGGCUUCGAACCUGUUAUUCCCCGUUCGAGUCGGGGCGAGGGCA